RNAcentral lists this long non-coding RNA (1751 nucleotides) under Homo sapiens (human). RNAcentral's name for it is "HSALNT0314193". Lineage: Eukaryota; Metazoa; Chordata; Mammalia; Primates; Hominidae. The record is from RNAcentral.
GAAUCGCUUGAAUCCGGGAGGUGGAGGUUGCAGUGAGCCAAGAUUGCACCACUGCACUCCAACCUGGCUGACAGAGCAAGACUCCAUCUCAAAAAAAAAAAAAAAAAAAAAAAAAAAAAUCACUGGGUUUACAAGUUUAUUAAAGAUAGCUUGAAUGAUUGUUGCCCCAUUUCACUUGCAUUUUGAAGGAGUCAUUGUUUUCUCUAAUUUUAAAUUAAUAUACAGUCAUUUCUGUGUUUUUUUGCAGAAAGUAAAAUUACUCAUUCUUAUUCAUAUCCACUUAACCUGCAGAAGGCCAAUGUAGUCCGCUGGGAGUCCUCAAUAAGGAUCACUGCUUUACCCAUCACUUGGGCUGGGCAUUAUUAAGAUACAGUGAUGGGUAAGGAGAAAACAGAAACGCAAAAGACCGUAAUGGGUGGUGAGAGAACAGUACCAGGUUUGGGAGAGACCUGCGCAGGCUGAGGUGUAAACUACCAGAGUGUGAAAUGGUUGCAAGAUUAAGUUACGAUUAUGAGGAGUGUCCUCUUGGGAAGUCAAAAGUAGUGUCUGCUGGGCACAGCCCCAGUUUACAUUUGGAGAUCAGCUAACACCUGUGAAUUAUUUUACUGCCCCCUUUCACUUUUAAAAAUGUCCCAGUUUAGAUAAUGUUACGUGGCCACUCCAUAUUUAUAAAGCCCAACUAGAUUUUCAUACAUUGGCUAAUGGUCUUAAGCAACUAGGUAUACAUAGUUCUAUUAAUGCUUGAUAUUGAGACUGGAUUUGGUAGUCAAGAAUUGCUAUGAAGGAUGUUGAGACAUUCCUUAAUGUGGGAAUCACUCCCAUGCCACGGUUUGGUCCAGCACACAUACAAAAAAAAAAUUGUUUUUAAAUUUAAAAAUUGCCCCAUUUGUGGCAACACAUCUGUUUAGAUAUUUACAAUACUGAGGGGCAAGGGAAACACACCUUUAAACUAUAUUAAGAUAAGAGACUUUCAUUUCUAAGAUGUCUGGGAAAUUUAAAGAAAUCUAGUUGAUUUCUGUAGGGAGGAAACUUCCAAAGCACUUAGAUGGUAAAGAUUAAGGGCAGCAGAAAUAGAAACUGUUAAUGAGACCAUGUAAGAAAUUUUGCUUGGUCAACCCGGGCAAUGUAGUGAAACUCUGUCUCUACAAAGGGUUGUUGUUGUUUUUUUUUUUUUUGAGAUGAAGUCUCGCUCUUGUCCCUCAGGCUAGAGUGUGAUGGCACAAUCUCGGCUCACUGCAACCUCCGCCUCCUGGGUUCAAGCGAUUCUCCUGCCUCAGCCCCCUGAGUAGCUGGGAUUACAGGCGCCUGCCACCACGCCCGGCUAAUUUUUGUAUUUUUAGUUGAGAAGGGGCUUCACCAUGUUGGCCAGGCUGGUCUAGAACUCCUGACCUCAGGUGAUCCACCCGCCUCGGCCUCGCAAAGUGCUGGGAUUACAGGCGUGAGCCAUAGUGCCCAGCCAACAAGGUAUUUUAAAAAGUAGCCGGGCAUGGUGGCGGGUGCCUGUGGGAGGCUGAGGUGGGAGGAUCGCCUGAGCCCUGGCAACGCUGCAGUGAACUGAGAUGGCACCACUGCACUCCAGCCUGGGCGACAAGGGCAAAACUCCGUCUCAUAAAUAAAUUAAUAAGUAAAUAAGAAACCCAAAAUGCGUAUCUCUUAUUCUGCCACUUUGGAUUUACCUACAUGUAUCAGUAUUCAGCAAAACUCCGUCUCAUAAAUGAAUAAAUAAGGAACCCAAAAUGCAAAUCUCUGUU